GGUUAAGCGACUAAGCGUACACGGUGGAUGCCCUGGCAGUCAGAGGCGAUGAAGGACGUGCUAAUCUGCGAAAAGCGUCGGUAAGGUGAUAUGAACCGUUACAGCCGGCGAUGUCCGAAUGGGGAAACCCAGUGUGAUUCGUCACACUAUCGUUAACUGAAUACAUAGGUUAACGAGGCGAACCGGGGGAACUGAAACAUCUAAGUACCCCGAGGAAAAGAAAUCAACCGAGAUUCCCCCAGUAGCGGCGAGCGAACGGGGAGCAGCCCAGAGUCUGAAUCAGCUUGUGUGUUAGUGGAACGGUCUGGAAAGUCCGACGGUACAGGGUGAUAGUCCCGUACACCAAAAUGCACAGGCUGUGAACUCGAAGAGUAGGGCGGGACACGUGGUAUCCUGUCUGAAUAUGGGGGGACCAUCCUCCAAGGCUAAAUACUCCUGACUGACCGAUAGUGAACCAGUACCGUGAGGGAAAGGCGAAAAGAACCCCGGCGAGGGGAGUGAAAAAGAACCUGAAACCGUGUACGUACAAGCAGUGGGAGCACCUUUAUGGUGUGACUGCGUACCUUUUGUAUAAUGGGUCAGCGACUUAUAUUCUGUAGCAAGGUUAACCGUAUAGGGGAGCCGCAGGGAAACCGAGUCUUAACUGGGCGUUAAGUUGCAGGGUAUAGACCCGAAACCCGGUGAUCUAGCCAUGGGCAGGUUGAAGGUUGGGUAACACUAACUGGAGGACCGAACCGACUAAUGUUGAAAAAUUAGCGGAUGACUUGUGGCUGGGGGUGAAAGGCCAAUCAAACCGGGAGAUAGCUGGUUCUCCCCGAAAGCUAUUUAGGUAGCGCCUCGUGAACUCAUCUUCGGGGGUAGAGCACUGUUUCGGCUAGGGGGUCAUCCCGACUUACCAACCCGAUGCAAACUACGAAUACCGAAGAAUGUUAUCACGGGAGACACACGGCGGGUGCUAACGUCCGUCGUGAAGAGGGAAACAACCCAGACCGCCAGCUAAGGUCCCAAAGUCAUGGUUAAGUGGGAAACGAUGUGGGAAGGCACAGACAGCCAGGAUGUUGGCUUAGAAGCAGCCAUCAUUUAAAGAAAGCGUAAUAGCUCACUGGUCGAGUCGGCCUGCGCGGAAGAUGUAACGGGGCUAAACCAUGCACCGAAGCUGCGGCAGCGACACUAUGUGUUGUUGGGUAGGGGAGCGUUCUGUAAGCCUGCGAAGGUGACCUGUGAGGGUUGCUGGAGGUAUCAGAAGUGCGAAUGCUGACAUAAGUAACGAUAAAGCGGGUGAAAAGCCCGCUCGCCGGAAGACCAAGGGUUCCUGUCCAACGUUAAUCGGGGCAGGGUGAGUCGACCCCUAAGGCGAGGCCGAAAGGCGUAGUCGAUGGGAAACAGGUUAAUAUUCCUGUACUUGGUGUUACUGCGAAGGGGGGACGGAGAAGGCUAUGUUAGCCGGGCGACGGUUGUCCCGGUUUAAGCAUGUAGGCUGGUUAUCCAGGCAAAUCCGGAUAAUCAAGGCUGAGGUGUGAUGACGAGGCACUACGGUGCUGAAGUAACAAAUGCCCUGCUUCCAGGAAAAGCCUCUAAGCAUCAGGUAACAUCAAAUCGUACCCCAAACCGACACAGGUGGUCAGGUAGAGAAUACCAAGGCGCUUGAGAGAACUCGGGUGAAGGAACUAGGCAAAAUGGUGCCGUAACUUCGGGAGAAGGCACGCUGGUGUGUAGGUGAAGUCCCUGCGGAUGGAGCUGAGACCAGUCGAAGAUACCAGCUGGCUGCAACUGUUUAUUAAAAACACAGCACUGUGCAAACACGAAAGUGGACGUAUACGGUGUGACGCCUGCCCGGUGCCGGAAGGUUAAUUGAUGGGGUUAUCCGUAAGGAGAAGCUCUUGAUCGAAGCCCCGGUAAACGGCGGCCGUAACUAUAACGGUCCUAAGGUAGCGAAAUUCCUUGUCGGGUAAGUUCCGACCUGCACGAAUGGCGUAAUGAUGGCCAGGCUGUCUCCACCCGAGACUCAGUGAAAUUGAACUCGCUGUGAAGAUGCAGUGUACCCGCGGCAAGACGGAAAGACCCCGUGAACCUUUACUAUAGCUUGACACUGAACAUUGAGCCUUGAUGUGUAGGAUAGGUGGGAGGCUUUGAAGCGUGGACGCCAGUCUGCGUGGAGCCAACCUUGAAAUACCACCCUUUAAUGUUUGAUGUUCUAACGUUGGCCCCUUACCGGGGUUGCGGACAGUGUCUGGUGGGUAGUUUGACUGGGGCGGUCUCCUCCCAAAGCGUAACGGAGGAGCACGAAGGUUAGCUAAUCCUGGUCGGACAUCAGGAGGUUAGUGCAAUGGCAUAAGCUAGCUUGACUGCGAGCGUGACGGCGCGAGCAGGUGCGAAAGCAGGUCAUAGUGAUCCGGUGGUUCUGAAUGGAAGGGCCAUCGCUCAACGGAUAAAAGGUACUCCGGGGAUAACAGGCUGAUACCGCCCAAGAGUUCAUAUCGACGGCGGUGUUUGGCACCUCGAUGUCGGCUCAUCACAUCCUGGGGCUGAAGUAGGUCCCAAGGGUAUGGCUGUUCGCCAUUUAAAGUGGUACGCGAGCUGGGUUUAGAACGUCGUGAGACAGUUCGGUCCCUAUCUGCCGUGGGCGCUGGAGAAUUGAGGGGGGCUGCUCCUAGUACGAGAGGACCGGAGUGGACGCAUCACUGGUGUUCGGGUUGUCAUGCCAAUGGCACUGCCCGGUAGCUAAAUGCGGAAGAGAUAAGUGCUGAAAGCAUCUAAGCACGAAACUUGCCCCGAGAUGAGUUCUCCCUGAGACUUUAAGUCUCCUGAAGGAACGUUAAAGACGAUGACGUUGAUAGGCCGGGUGUGUAAGCGCAGCGAUGCGUUGAGCUAACCGGUACUAAUGAACCGUGAGGCUUAACCUU
This 2903-nucleotide ribosomal RNA is filed under the name Klebsiella quasipneumoniae. RNAcentral describes it as "23S ribosomal RNA". It matches the Rfam family "Bacterial large subunit ribosomal RNA". Lineage: Bacteria; Pseudomonadati; Pseudomonadota; Gammaproteobacteria; Enterobacterales; Enterobacteriaceae. The record is from RNAcentral.